AAACCAUUUUUUGCCUAAGUAUGGGAGACAGAACAGGACCCAUUGAGCAAUAGAAAAAGUACCGCAAGGGAAAGCUGAAAAAGAGAUGAAACAGACCAGUUAAGACCACCAAAGUAGAGAUAAACUCUCGUACCUUUUGCAUCAUGAUUUAGCCAGAAACUUCAAGCAAAGAGUACUUCAGUUUGAAACCCCGAAACUAAACGAGCUACUCCAAGACAGCCUAUAACCAGGGCACACCCGUCUCUGUAGCAAAAGAGUGGGAAGAGCUUCGAGUAGAGGUGAUAAACCUAACGAGCUUAGUGAUAGCUGGUUGCCUGAGAACUGAAUUUUAGUUCAGCCUCCCGGCUUCUCCUACCAACUAUAUUAAAAUAAUUAUGGACAUAAAGAAACCGAGAGAGUUAGUCAAAGGAGGUCCAGCUCCUUUGAAACAGACACAACUUUUCCAGGAGAGUAUGGAUCAUAUACACUAAAGGAAACAUGUCCUAGUGGGCCUAAAAGCAGCCACCUUAUCAGAAAGCGUUAAAGCUCAAACACAUAAACUAUCCAUCAAUCCAGAUAAACUAAUCCAAACCCCCUAACAUUACCAGGCCAUUCUAUCAACAUAGAAGUGACCAUGCUAAUAUGAGUAAUAAGAAAGUACCUACCUUUCUCAUAUGCACAAGUGUACAUCGGAACGGACCAACCACCGAACAUUAACGUCCCCCAAAAAAGAGAGCAUUGAAAAACCACACCCAAACCUAGAAAAACCUUCAAACAUAAACCCGUUAACUCUACAGCAGAAGCGCACAAAAUGAAAGACUAAAAGAUUAAGAAGGACUCGGCAACAAACCAAGCCCCGCCUGUUUACCAAAAACAUCGCCUCUUGUAAACCAAAAAUAAGAGGUACUGCCUGCCCAGUGACAAUUAGUUCAACGGCCGCGGUAUUCUGACCGUGCAAAGGUAGCGCAAUCACUUGUCUUUUAAAUGAAGACCCGUAUGAAUGGCAAAACGAGGGCUUAACUGUCUCCUUAGUCCAGUCAAUGAAAUUAACCUCCCCGUGCAGAGGCGGGGAUGCACCCAUAAGACGAGAAGACCCUAUGGAGCUUCAGACACCAGACCGACCAUGUUAACCACCUUAAAACAAAAUCGCGAACCCGAUGGUUACCGUCUACAUGUCUUAGGUUGGGGCGACCAUGGGGAAAAACACAACCCCCACGUGGACUGGGAGCAAAUGCCCGUUACCAACUCCCAAAACCAAGAGACACUCCUCAAAUAAACAGAACUUCUGACCUCAAAUGAUCCGGCAAAGCCGAUCAACGAAACAAGUUACCCUAGGGAUAACAGCGCAAU
RNAcentral lists this ribosomal RNA (1329 nucleotides) under Achiroides leucorhynchos. RNAcentral describes it as "16S ribosomal RNA". It matches the Rfam family "Bacterial large subunit ribosomal RNA", at positions 394 to 2486 of the family's 2925-position model. The record is from RNAcentral. Lineage: Eukaryota; Metazoa; Chordata; Actinopteri; Pleuronectiformes; Soleidae.